GGCGGGCGAGUGGAAUGGAUCACCACGCUGGCCUCAUAAGCCGGAAAUACCGGGUUCGACUCCCGGGCCACGCAACCA
This 78-nucleotide transfer RNA is filed under the name Bradyrhizobium elkanii. RNAcentral describes it as "tRNA-Met". It matches the Rfam family "tRNA". Rfam says of the family: Transfer RNA (tRNA) molecules are approximately 80 nucleotides in length. Their secondary structure includes four short double-helical elements and three loops (D, anti-codon, and T loops). Further hydrogen bonds mediate the characteristic L-shaped molecular structure. tRNAs have two regions of fundamental functional importance: the anti-codon, which is responsible for specific mRNA codon recognition, and the 3' end, to which the tRNAs corresponding amino acid is attached (by aminoacyl-tRNA synthetases). tRNAs cope with the degeneracy of the genetic code in two manners: having more than one tRNA (with a specific anti-codon) for a particular amino acid; and 'wobble' base-pairing, i.e. permitting non-standard base-pairing at the 3rd anti-codon position. The record is from RNAcentral. Lineage: Bacteria; Pseudomonadati; Pseudomonadota; Alphaproteobacteria; Hyphomicrobiales; Nitrobacteraceae.